ACGACCGCAUCGAUUGUGUUGUAUUUCACAUUUCUCGUUCAGUUUUGUUUUGGUUGUUUUCUAUUUUCGUUUGACAGUUCUUGUGCUUGUGUGUUGGUUAAAGACAUCGUAACGCAAAUCUACCAUUAAUGGAAAAGAGUAACGCGUUGGCAGUGUUGCCGAAUAUUAGUACAACAUAAUUAAUUUUGAAAAAUCAAAAUCAAUUUUAUGUUGAUUUGUUUUUGUUUCAAUGGAGAACCCCAUGCUUAGUAAAAAUGAAUGGUUUCAUUCAUUUUUUUCACUGGGAUGGAGGGGUAUUUGUAACCGUUGGUCCCAAUUUAUAGCUUGCCGGCUCUGCCGUAAGUUUCCCAUGUCUUUCCAUGACCUGCCAGUAAGCCCCUUUUACCCAUUCCUUUACCUACAAAACAAAUAGAGAGCCUUACUGGUGGCGUAAACCCCGCUGUCUAUACUCAAAAAUAAAAGAUUCGACAACGUCAUCUACAAUUAAUUAGUACACGUCUCAAUCGCUCUCCCUGGUACGGUCCGAACUGUGGUUUGAGCAAAAACAUAAGGCGUUACGACUUGUGUUGACCUAAUAAUGACCCUGCGCAUAGUGGGUGACAGACACGACGAAGUGUCACUGUCAAACUUCGGCCCUUCGUCGGACUUCUUAUUGGAUAGGCCGGGGUAGAUACUACCGAAUCAAGGGGAUUCAUCCUCUUUGCCGUCCGAGUCUCGGAGAAACCAGUAGUGCGCGCUAGAGUGUCCCAACUAAAGUUUUUUAUAGAAACCGCGUGGUGUAUAUUUGAGUAGUUAGUGCUUUUUGUGGUUAAAUCUAAAAGUUUGAAGAGUUAGUGUUAGAAAAGUAUUAGUACGAUUUUGACAGAUUCGAGUUCAAGUGAAAACCUAAAACUACACCGCUGUAUAAGGAGAAGCAAGAAGAAAAGGUCCAGAUUCGGGCCUUUUCUUUUCACCCACACUCCUGUGGCUAAGCCCGGAGGAUUUCUUUUCACCACCAGUGAACGCCAGGACACUUGGUCAGCGGCCGAGAGAACAAACGCCGGUAACGCCGGUUCACCCUUGCAAACGGGCAACGAAAGUGCCACCCCGUUGCGCCAUUUUGGAGAUCGGCCAUUGGGAUAGUUCGGCGGCCAUCUUCAACCAAGCACUCGCCAUCACCGUGUGAGUCCCGUGGAAAGAGAAUCCACUGCCACUUCAUCGGCACUAGCCAACACCCCGGCGCGGGUUUACGUUGGUCACCCCCAACGAUUCCAAGGCCAUCGAUCGGUCCAGGAUCAACCGUAGCCCAGCUGGCGGGCCCUUGUCCACCCAGCAAGGUACAACGCUACACCGCUGUGAGGGGACCCAUCCCUGCAACCGUCCAAACCGCCUAUCGCCGCCACCACCGCCCAGGCCCAGGUCCGGCCAAGGCCUAACCGUGAAUGGCCCUGGUGUUCCAUUGGAGAUAGCCAUUCCUCCCCGAGUCACCCGUGGAUCCACAACGACCGCCAGAUCAAAACGGCAAGUACCAUGUAACCGUCUCUCAACAACACCCAAAUCGUCCCUAAAAUGGGUCAAUAAAACCUAGAUAUGUAAGCUCAAUUGGCCUUUAGCCUUAUUUAGCCAACGCACUCCCUGCUUGUAUAUACACCACUUUCUUUUCCGUACCCACAAGUGGUCUUCAACCCUACUGCUCGAUAAGUUGCUAUAAAAUUUGACUUCACCUUGAUUCCUUUCGCUUCGGUCCUUCUAAUGGUCUGUUUACCAUUCAGCUGUCAGGGAAAAUAACAGAUAAACUCCCACACCGAAGGUAAGUGACUGGUGAUGCAGUGAUAGAGGCGGUACUAAUUAAUGAGACGACCCUGAGAUCGGCAAAAUUCCCACCUUUUUCCCCCCCUGAGCAGCCGAGAG
Molecule: long non-coding RNA, 1890 nt
Organism: Aedes albopictus (Asian tiger mosquito)
Lineage: Eukaryota; Metazoa; Arthropoda; Insecta; Diptera; Culicidae
Exons: 3
Source: RefSeq, a predicted model, not a curated record